This 164-nucleotide ribosomal RNA is filed under the name uncultured bacterium. RNAcentral's name for it is "partial 16S rRNA". It matches the Rfam family "Bacterial small subunit ribosomal RNA", at positions 355 to 511 of the family's 1533-position model. The record is from RNAcentral.
UAGGGAAUCUUCCACAAUGGGCGAAAGCCUGGUGGAGCAACGCCGCGUGUGUGAUGAAGGGUUUCGGCUCGUAAAACACUGUUGUAAGAGAAAAAUGACAUUGAGAGUAACUGUUCAAUGUGUGACGGUAUCUUACCAGAAAGGAACGGCUAAAUACGUGCCAC